This is a long non-coding RNA of Astatotilapia calliptera (eastern happy), 438 nucleotides long. NCBI's taxonomy places the organism in Eukaryota, Metazoa, Chordata, Actinopteri, Cichliformes, Cichlidae. The record is from Ensembl.
CGCAUUUGGGGGAAGUUAAUAUUUCACGUCACUGCAGGCCUUCAAACAAUGAGAUUUGAGCCUAAACAGUGAAAGGCAGUCGCGUUUUAAUCAGUAGAGGAUGUCGCAUAAAAAGAGAUGAAAGAACAAACCAUGUACUGUAGUGUUGAUUUAUUUAUUUUUAGCACAACACCAGAACAACCCCACGUGCCCAUAAUUUGCGGUACUUCAGAAAAAAAGGAGUGAACAUAAAAGGGAGUAAAAUGUUGUGUCAGGAAGAGAAAGAAUGAGAGCUAACUUCACUCAGAGAUAUAGAAAGAAAGAGAAAGAAACCAGGCUGUAUUUAAAGACGUCUUGAAAACAAGUUUUAACAAAGUCCUGGAGAAGUGCCCAAUGCUGGAGGACCUCCUGCUUUACCCCUGGCUCAGAUAAACUCCUCUCUGACACAAACACACACGC